AUUGAACGCUGGCGGCAUGCCUUACACAUGCAAGUCGAACGGCAGCACGGGAGCUUGCUCCUGGUGGCGAGUGGCGAACGGGUGAGUAAUACAUCGGAACGUACCCUGAAGUGGGGGAUAACGUAGCGAAAGUUACGCUAAUACCGCAUAUUCUGUGAGCAGGAAAGAGGGGGAUCGCAAGACCUCUUGCUUUAGGAGCGGCCGAUGUCGGAUUAGCUAGUUGGUGAGGUAAAGGCUCACCAAGGCGACGAUCCGUAGCGGGUCUGAGAGGAUGAUCCGCCACACUGGGACUGAGACACGGCCCAGACUCCUACGGGGGCAGCAGUGGGGAAUUUUGGACAAUGGGCGCAAGCCUGAUCCAGCCAUGCCGCGUGAGUGAAGAAGG
RNAcentral lists this ribosomal RNA (385 nucleotides) under uncultured bacterium. RNAcentral's name for it is "bacterial SSU rRNA". It matches the Rfam family "Bacterial small subunit ribosomal RNA", at positions 30 to 414 of the family's 1533-position model. The record is from RNAcentral.